UACGAGGGGGGCAAGUGUUGUUCGGAAUUACUGGGCGUAAAGGGAGCGUAGGCGGGCUCUUAAGUUGGAUGUUUAAAACCGGGGCCUAACCCCGGCGUGGCAUCCAAAACUGGGAGUCUUGAAUGGGACAGAGGCCAGUGGAAUUAGAGGUGUAGCGGUGGAAUGCGUAGAUAUCGGGAAGAACACCCGUGGCGAAGGCGGCUCUCUGGAACGCAACUGACGCUGAGACGCGAAAGCGUGGGGAGCAAACAGG
RNAcentral lists this ribosomal RNA (253 nucleotides) under uncultured bacterium. RNAcentral's name for it is "partial 16S ribosomal RNA". It matches the Rfam family "Bacterial small subunit ribosomal RNA", at positions 524 to 776 of the family's 1533-position model. The record is from RNAcentral.